UAUCAAAGACAUAGUAAAACCUUGUUUUAUAUAUCUGCCCAAUGAUAAACAUUAUAUGGCCUCAAGGUAGCAUAAUAAUUAGUUUAUUAAUUGUAAACUAGCAUGAAGACAGCAUUUUUAAAAAUUUUUUAGACAAAUUAAAUGAAAUUUAAGCAUUAGUUAAAAUACUGAUAUGCCCCCUAUAGACGAUAAGACCCUAAGACCUUUAUUAAUAUUUUACUGGGAUAGUACUAUAAAUAUAAUAAAUUUUUAUCUAAUAAAUAUCAACCAAAAAUUUUGCUAUUAAAGGUACCUUAGGGAUAACAGCGCUAAGCCUCUUAAAGGCCUAAUUAAAGAGAGUAUCGUGACCUCGAUGUUGAAUUAAGUAAAGUAGUGCUGUAGAAGGUACUACCUUAAGUCUGUUCGACUUAAAAUACUUACAUGAUUUGAGUUAAAAUCGACGUAAGCCAGA
This 451-nucleotide ribosomal RNA is filed under the name Metacaligus uruguayensis. RNAcentral describes it as "partial 16S small subunit ribosomal RNA". Lineage: Eukaryota; Metazoa; Arthropoda; Copepoda; Siphonostomatoida; Caligidae. The record is from RNAcentral.